Molecule: transfer RNA, 65 nt
Filed under: Marinobacter nauticus
Lineage: Bacteria; Pseudomonadati; Pseudomonadota; Gammaproteobacteria; Pseudomonadales; Marinobacteraceae
Description: tRNA-Phe
Rfam family: tRNA
About the family: Transfer RNA (tRNA) molecules are approximately 80 nucleotides in length.
Source: RNAcentral
GCCCGGAUAGCUCAGUUGGUAGAGCAGGGGAUUGAAAAUCCCCGUGUCGGUGGUUCGAUUCCGCC